This 256-nucleotide ribosomal RNA is filed under the name uncultured bacterium. RNAcentral's name for it is "partial 16S ribosomal RNA". It matches the Rfam family "Bacterial small subunit ribosomal RNA", at positions 97 to 353 of the family's 1533-position model. The record is from RNAcentral.
GGCGGACGGGUGAGUAAUGUCUGGGAAACUGCCUGAUGGAGGGGGGAUAACUACUGGAAACGGUAGCUAAUACCGCAUAACGUCGCAAGACCAAAGAGGGGGACCUUCGGGCCUCUUGCCAUCGGAUGUGCCCAGAUGGGAUUAGCUAGUAGGUGGGGUAAAGGCUCACCUAGGCGACGAUCCCUAGCUGGUCUGAGAGGAUGACCAGCCACACUGGAACUGAGACACGGUCCAGACUCCUACGGGAGGCAGCAUG